RNAcentral lists this transfer RNA (73 nucleotides) under Bos taurus (domestic cattle). It matches the Rfam family "tRNA". From Rfam's summary of the family: Transfer RNA (tRNA) molecules are approximately 80 nucleotides in length. The record is from Rfam by way of RNAcentral. Lineage: Eukaryota; Metazoa; Chordata; Mammalia; Artiodactyla; Bovidae. RNAcentral also lists the same sequence under 4 other names.
UCCCUGGUGGUUCAGUGGUUAAGACUCAGCACUUUCACUGCCGUGGACCCGGGUUCAACCCUUAGUCGGGGAA